UCCUACGGGAGGCAGCAGUAGGGAAUAUUGCACAAUGGAGGAAACUCUGAUGCAGCGAUGCCGCGUGAGUGAAGAAGGCCUUUGGGUUGUAAAGCUCUUUCGUCGGGGAAGAAAAUGACUGUACCCGAAUAAGAAGGUCCGGCUAACUUCGUGCCAGCAGCCGCGGUAAUACGAAGGGACCUAGCGUAGUUCGGAAUUACUGGGCUUAAAGAGUUCGUAGGUGGUUGAAAAAGUUAGUGGUGAAAUCCCAGAGCUUAACUCUGGAACUGCCAUUAAAACUUUUCAGCUAGAGUAUGAUAGAGGAAAGCAGAAUUUCUAGUGUAGAGGUGAAAUUCGUAGAUAUUAGAAAGAAUACCAAUUGCGAAGGCAGCUUUCUGGAUCAUUACUGACACUGAGGAACGAAAGCAUGGGUAGCGAAGAGGAUUAGAUACCCUCGUAGUCCAUGCCGUAAACGAUGUGUGUUAGACGUUGGAAAUUUAUUUUCAGUGUCGCAGCGAAAGCGAUAAACACACCGCCUGGGGAGUACGACCGCAAGGUUAAAACUCAAAUGAAUUGACGGA
This 560-nucleotide ribosomal RNA is filed under the name uncultured bacterium. Its description in RNAcentral is "bacterial SSU rRNA". It matches the Rfam family "Bacterial small subunit ribosomal RNA", at positions 337 to 917 of the family's 1533-position model. The record is from RNAcentral.